RNAcentral lists this transfer RNA (54 nucleotides) under Garovaglia elegans. RNAcentral's name for it is "partial tRNA-Leu". Lineage: Eukaryota; Viridiplantae; Streptophyta; Bryopsida; Ptychomniales; Ptychomniaceae. RNAcentral also lists the same sequence under 13 other names. The record is from RNAcentral.
GACUUAAAAUCCGUUGGCUUUAUUGACCGUGAGGGUUCAAGUCCCUCUACCCCC